RNAcentral lists this ribosomal RNA (253 nucleotides) under uncultured bacterium. RNAcentral's name for it is "partial 16S ribosomal RNA". It matches the Rfam family "Bacterial small subunit ribosomal RNA", at positions 524 to 776 of the family's 1533-position model. The record is from RNAcentral.
UACGGGGGGGGCAAGCGUUGUUCGGAAUUACUGGGCGUAAAGGGCUCGUAGGCGGCCAACUAAGUCCGACGUGAAAUCCCCAGGCUUAACCUGGGAACUGCGUCGGAUACUGGAUGGCUUGAAUCCGGGAGAGGGAUGCGGAAUUCCAGGUGUAGCGGUGAAAUGCAUAGAUAUGACUUAGAACACCAAUUGCGAAGGCAGCUUGCUAAACAAUUAUUGACGCUGAGGCACGAAAGCGUGGGGAUCAAACAGG